CGGCGUGGUUAAGAUAUGCAAGUCGAGCGCGACUUAUUCUGUAGCAAUACAGGGUAAGUUGAGCAGCGAAAGGGUGCGUAACACGUGGGCAAUUUGCCAUGAAGUUGGGGAUAACUCGCUGAAAGGCGAGCUAAUACCGAAUGUGAUUAUCUGGAGGCAUCUUUGGAUAAUUAAAGCUGGGGAUCGUAAGACCUGGCGCUUUAUGAUGAGCCCGCGGCCUAUCAGCUAGUUGGUAAGGUAAUGGCUUACCAAGGCUAAGACGGGUAGCUGGUCUGAGAGGACGACCAGCCACACUGGAACUGAGACACGGUCCAGACACCUACGGGUGCCAGC
This 333-nucleotide ribosomal RNA is filed under the name uncultured bacterium. Its description in RNAcentral is "bacterial SSU rRNA". It matches the Rfam family "Bacterial small subunit ribosomal RNA", at positions 40 to 352 of the family's 1533-position model. The record is from RNAcentral.